UAACACGUGGGGAACCUGCCCCAUAGUCUGGGAUACCACUUGGAAACAGGUGCUAAUACCGGAUAAGAAAGCGGAUCGCAUGAUCAGCUUUUAAAAGGCGGCGUAAGCUGUCGCUAUGGGAUGGCCCCGCGGUGCAUUAGCUAGUUGGUAAGGUAAAGGCUUACCAAGGCGAUGAUGCAUAGCCGAGUUGAGAGACUGAUCGGCCACAUUGGGACUGAGACACGGCCCAAACUCCUACGGGAGGCAGCNGA
This 251-nucleotide ribosomal RNA is filed under the name uncultured Lactobacillus sp. RNAcentral describes it as "partial 16S ribosomal RNA". It matches the Rfam family "Bacterial small subunit ribosomal RNA", at positions 111 to 354 of the family's 1533-position model. Lineage: Bacteria; Bacillati; Bacillota; Bacilli; Lactobacillales; Lactobacillaceae. The record is from RNAcentral.